ACUAAGCGUACACGGUGGAUGCCCUGGCAGUCAGAGGCGAUGAAGGACGUGCUAAUCUGCGAUAAGCGUCGGUAAGGUGAUAUGAACCGUUAUAACCGGCGAUUUCCGAAUGGGGAAACCCAGUGUGAUUCGUCACACUAUCAUUAACUGAAUCCAUAGGUUAAUGAGGCGAACCGGGGAACUGAAACAUCUAAGUACCCCGAGGAAAAGAAAUCAACCGAGAUUCCCCCAGUAGCGGCGAGCGAACGGGGAGCAGCCCAGAGCCUGAAUCAGUGUGUGUGUUAGUGGAAGCGUCUGGAAAGGCGUGCGAUACAGGGUGACAGCCCCGUACACAAAAAUGCACAUACUGUGAGCUCGAUGAGUAGGGCGGGACACGUGGUAUCCUGUCUGAAUAUGGGGGACCAUCCUCCAAGGCUAAAUACUCCUGACUGACCGAUAGUGAACCAGUACCGUGAGGGAAAGGCGAAAAGAACCCCGGCGAGGGAGUGAAAAAGAACCUGAAACCGUGUACGUACAAGCAGUGGGAGCACGCUUAGGCGUGUGACUGCGUACCUUUUGUAUAAUGGGUCAGCGACUUAUAUUCUGUAGCAAGGUUAACCGAAUAGGGGAGCCGAAGGGAAACCGAGUCUUAACUGGGCGUUAAGUUGCAGGGUAUAGACCCGAAACCCGGUGAUCUAGCCAUGGGCAGGUUGAAGGUUGGGUAACACUAACUGGAGGACCGAACCGACUAAUGUUGAAAAAUUAGCGGAUGACUUGUGGCUGGGGGUGAAAGGCCAAUCAAACCGGGAGAUAGCUGGUUCUCCCCGAAAGCUAUUUAGGUAGCGCCUCGUGAAUUCAUCUCCGGGGGUAGAGCACUGUUUCGGCAAGGGGGUCAUCCCGACUUACCAACCCGAUGCAAACUGCGAAUACCGGAGAAUGUUAUCACGGGAGACACACGGCGGGUGCUAACGUCCGUCGUGAAGAGGGAAACAACCCAGACCGCCAGCUAAGGUCCCAAAGUCAUGGUUAAGUGGGAAACGAUGUGGGAAGGCCCAGACAGCCAGGAUGUUGGCUUAGAAGCAGCCAUCAUUUAAAGAAAGCGUAAUAGCUCACUGGUCGAGUCGGCCUGCGCGGAAGAUGUAACGGGGCUAAACCAUGCACCGAAGCUGCGGCAGCGACGCUUAUGCGUUGUUGGGUAGGGGAGCGUUCUGUAAGCCUGUGAAGGUGUGCUGUGAGGUAUGCUGGAGGUAUCAGAAGUGCGAAUGCUGACAUAAGUAACGAUAAAGCGGGUGAAAAGCCCGCUCGCCGGAAGACCAAGGGUUCCUGUCCAACGUUAAUCGGGGCAGGGUGAGUCGACCCCUAAGGCGAGGCCGAAAGGCGUAGUCGAUGGGAAACAGGUUAAUAUUCCUGUACUUGGUGUUACUGCGAAGGGGGGACGGAGAAGGCUAUGUUGGCCGGGCGACGGUUGUCCCGGUUUAAGCGUGUAGGCUGGUUUUCCAGGCAAAUCCGGAAAAUCAAGGCCGAGGCGUGAUGACGAGGCACUACGGUGCUGAAGCAACAAAUGCCCUGCUUCCAGGAAAAGCCUCUAAGCAUCAGGUAACAUCAAAUCGUACCCCAAACCGACACAGGUGGUCAGGUAGAGAAUACCAAGGCGCUUGAGAGAACUCGGGUGAAGGAACUAGGCAAAAUGGUGCCGUAACUUCGGGAGAAGGCACGCUGAUACGUAGGUGAAGCGACUUGCUCGUGGAGCUGAAAUCAGUCGAAGAUACCAGCUGGCUGCAACUGUUUAUUAAAAACACAGCACUGUGCAAACACGAAAGUGGACGUAUACGGUGUGACGCCUGCCCGGUGCCGGAAGGUUAAUUGAUGGGGUUAGCGCAAGCGAAGCUCUUGAUCGAAGCCCCGGUAAACGGCGGCCGUAACUAUAACGGUCCUAAGGUAGCGAAAUUCCUUGUCGGGUAAGUUCCGACCUGCACGAAUGGCGUAAUGAUGGCCAGGCUGUCUCCACCCGAGACUCAGUGAAAUUGAACUCGCUGUGAAGAUGCAGUGUACCCGCGGCAAGACGGAAAGACCCCGUGAACCUUUACUAUAGCUUGACACUGAACAUUGAGCCUUGAUGUGUAGGAUAGGUGGGAGGCUUUGAAGUGUGGACGCCAGUCUGCAUGGAGCCGACCUUGAAAUACCACCCUUUAAUGUUUGAUGUUCUAACGUGGACCCGUGAUCCGGGUUGCGGACAGUGUCUGGUGGGUAGUUUGACUGGGGCGGUCUCCUCCUAAAGAGUAACGGAGGAGCACGAAGGUUGGCUAAUCCUGGUCGGACAUCAGGAGGUUAGUGCAAUGGCAUAAGCCAGCUUGACUGCGAGCGUGACGGCGCGAGCAGGUGCGAAAGCAGGUCAUAGUGAUCCGGUGGUUCUGAAUGGAAGGGCCAUCGCUCAACGGAUAAAAGGUACUCCGGGGAUAACAGGCUGAUACCGCCCAAGAGUUCAUAUCGACGGCGGUGUUUGGCACCUCGAUGUCGGCUCAUCACAUCCUGGGGCUGAAGUAGGUCCCAAGGGUAUGGCUGUUCGCCAUUUAAAGUGGUACGCGAGCUGGGUUUAGAACGUCGUGAGACAGUUCGGUCCCUAUCUGCCGUGGGCGCUGGAGAACUGAGGGGGCUGCUCCUAGUACGAGAGGACCGGAGUGGACGCAUCACUGGUGUUCGGGUUGUCAUGCCAAUGGCACUGCCCGGUAGCUAAAUGCGGAAGAGAUAAGUGCUGAAAGCAUCUAAGCACGAAACUUGCCCCGAGAUGAGUUCUCCCUGACCCUUUAAGGGUCCUGAAGGAACGUUGAAGACGACGACGUUGAUAGGCCGGGUGUGUAAGCGCAGCGAUGCGUUGAGCUAACCGGUACUAAUGAACCGUGAGGCUUAACC
This 2889-nucleotide ribosomal RNA is filed under the name Shigella boydii. Its description in RNAcentral is "bacterial LSU rRNA". It matches the Rfam family "Bacterial large subunit ribosomal RNA". Lineage: Bacteria; Pseudomonadati; Pseudomonadota; Gammaproteobacteria; Enterobacterales; Enterobacteriaceae. The record is from RNAcentral.